ACGACCUUUGGACCGUCGGUGUACCGAGAAAUUUCACCCGCUCGGUGGGAGAAAGAAGAUCAUCCCUUUGUCGU
This 74-nucleotide microRNA precursor is filed under the name Bombyx mori (domestic silkworm). RNAcentral's name for it is "mir-2774 microRNA precursor family". It matches the Rfam family "mir-2774 microRNA precursor family". The record is from Rfam by way of RNAcentral. Lineage: Eukaryota; Metazoa; Arthropoda; Insecta; Lepidoptera; Bombycidae.